Molecule: transfer RNA, 67 nt
Filed under: Pandion haliaetus
Lineage: Eukaryota; Metazoa; Chordata; Aves; Accipitriformes; Pandionidae
Description: tRNA-Phe
Rfam family: tRNA
About the family: Transfer RNA (tRNA) molecules are approximately 80 nucleotides in length.
Source: RNAcentral
GUCCCCGUAGCUUACAACAAAGCAUGGCACUGAAGAUGCCAAGACGGUUGAUCCAUUCCCGAGGACA